AACGAACGCUGGCGGCAUGCCUAACACAUGCAAGUCGAACGAGACCUUCGGGUCUAGUGGCGCACGGGUGCGUAACGCGUGGGAAUCUGCCCUUGGGUUCGGAAUAACAGCUGGAAACGACUGCUAAUACCGGAUGAUGACGUAAGUCCAAAGAUUUAUCGCCCAAGGAUGAGCCCGCGUAGGAUUAGCUAGUUGGUGAGGUAAAGGCUCACCAAGGCGACGAUCCUUAGCUGGUCUGAGAGGAUGAUCAGCCACACUGGGACUGAGACACGGCCCAGACUCCUACGGGAGGCAGCAGUGGGGAAUAUUGGACAAUGGGCGAAAGCCUGAUCCAGCAAUGCCGCGUGAGUGAUGAAGGCCUUAGGGUUGUAAAGCUCUUUUACCCGGGAUGAUAAUGACAGUACCGGGAGAAUAAGCUCCGGCUAACUCCGUG
RNAcentral lists this ribosomal RNA (433 nucleotides) under uncultured bacterium. RNAcentral describes it as "partial 16S ribosomal RNA". It matches the Rfam family "Bacterial small subunit ribosomal RNA", at positions 29 to 507 of the family's 1533-position model. The record is from RNAcentral.